GGGAAAUGAUGAGUGGUCAAUGCUCGCACAUAAACAUGCGAGAUGGGGUGUUCACCCAAAGCCUGUUACGACAAUUGGGCACCUCAAUUCUUAAACCAUCUGAUCCC
Helianthus annuus (common sunflower) is the source of this 107-nucleotide non-coding RNA. The record is from Rfam. Lineage: Eukaryota; Viridiplantae; Streptophyta; Magnoliopsida; Asterales; Asteraceae.